UCAUUCCUUGGUUUCUGUUGCCCUCUCUGGUACCUGUGUGUUGCCUGGCAAGAAAGGAUGAUAAAGCAAGAAGCCCCUAGCACCUUGGUUUUGAACUUCUAUUCUGCAUAACAGUAUUUUGGCUGCAUGUAUAUCUACAAACCAUAUACAUGCCUGAUACCCACAGAGGCCAGAAGAUGGUGCUGAAUCCCCUGG
Molecule: long non-coding RNA, 195 nt
Organism: Onychomys torridus (southern grasshopper mouse)
Lineage: Eukaryota; Metazoa; Chordata; Mammalia; Rodentia; Cricetidae
Exons: 3
Source: RefSeq, a predicted model, not a curated record